This 372-nucleotide ribosomal RNA is filed under the name uncultured organism. RNAcentral describes it as "bacterial SSU rRNA". It matches the Rfam family "Bacterial small subunit ribosomal RNA", at positions 526 to 896 of the family's 1533-position model. The record is from RNAcentral.
CAGAGGUCUCAAGCGUUGUUCGGAUUCAUUGGGCGUAAAGGGUGCGUAGGCGGCGCGGUAAGUCGGGUGUGAAAUCUCGGAGCUUAACUCCGAAACUGCAUUCGAUACUGCCGUGCUUGAGGACUGGAGAGGAGACUGGAAUUUACGGUGUAGCGGUGAAAUGCGUAGAUAUCGUAAGGAAGACCAGUGGCGAAGGCGGGUCUCUGGACAGUUCCUGACGCUGAGGCACGAAGGCCAGGGGAGCAAACGGGAUUAGAUACCCCGGUAGUCCUGGCAGUAAACGGUGCACGUUUGGUGUGGGAGGAUUCGACCCCUUCUGCGCCGGAGCUAACGCGUUAAACGUGCCGCCUGGGGAGUACGGUCGCAAGAUUA